UGUGUAAACCGCUUAUAAAUACUCGCUCGAUCACUCAUCUCUUCUUCCUUGAGAAAUCAAAAAUUUCUGCACGCUCCUUCUUCUUCUUCCACACGGAAAAGAAAACCCUAGCGUUUUCAAGUUCUCUGUUUUUAUAUAGAGGAUCGCCGAUGAUCCUUUCUGAUAUAGAGGUAAGUCGAUGAUCUCUUCUAAAAAUUCACUCUUC
Molecule: long non-coding RNA, 205 nt
Organism: Arabidopsis thaliana (thale cress)
Lineage: Eukaryota; Viridiplantae; Streptophyta; Magnoliopsida; Brassicales; Brassicaceae
Product: other RNA
Exons: 1
Source: RefSeq